GUCUACAGCCAUGACACUCUGAACAUGCUGGAUCUCAUCUGAUCUUGGAAGCCAAGCAGGGGCGGGCCUGAUAAGUACUUGGAUGGGAGACCACCUAGGAAGACCAGGUGCUGCAAGCA
Molecule: ribosomal RNA, 119 nt
Filed under: Pteropus alecto (black flying fox)
Lineage: Eukaryota; Metazoa; Chordata; Mammalia; Chiroptera; Pteropodidae
Source: RNAcentral